Molecule: ribosomal RNA, 392 nt
Filed under: uncultured bacterium
Lineage: Bacteria
Description: partial 16S ribosomal RNA
Rfam family: Bacterial small subunit ribosomal RNA
Source: RNAcentral
AUACGUAUGUCGCAAGCGUUAUCCGGAUUUAUUGGGCGUAAAGCGCGUCUAGGCGGCUUAGUAAGUCUGAUGUGAAAAUGCGGGGCUCAACCCCGUAUUGCGUUGGAAACUGCUAAACUAGAGUACUGGAGAGGUAGGCGGAACUACAAGUGUAGAGGUGAAAUUCGUAGAUAUUUGUAGGAAUGCCGAUGGGGAAGCCAGCCUACUGGACAGAUACUGACGCUAAAGCGCGAAAGCGUGGGAAGCAAACAGGAUUAGAUACCCUGGUAGUCCACGCCGUAAACGAUGAUUACUAGGUGUUGGGGGUCGAACCUCAGCGCCCAAGCUAACGCGAUAAGUAAUCCGCCUGGGGAGUACGUACGCAAGUAUGAAACUCAAAGGAAUUGACGGGG